AAACACAAAACCAUAAACAAAACAACUGAGCAAAGUUUUUGCGAAAAACAAAUUUAGAAGUAUUUAAACCAGCCAACGUAGAACAUGUAAUUCUCAAACUUACAUCUAGCAAAAAUUUUGUUAUCAAACCUUAAAAAAAACAAACGAUAAAAAUCAGAAAAAAUGCAUCUUCCAAUAAAAUUUGUUUACUUAAUCAGCUUAAUCUUUAUGAUAUUAAAAACCAGUUUUUCCGCUGAAUUUUCUGCAGAAGUUGGAGAACCCUCUUUGUCUGUGGAGGACUCCAGUUUAGAGGACCGUCAGCGCUCAUUACCCCAGAUUAACAAUGAUAUGCUGUCACAUAAAAAUCCCUCACUUACUAAUAAUGAAUUGAAAGAGUUGUGGGAGAAAUUGCCGGAAUAUGAAUUAACCGAUAUUAAAUAAGUGUUUUUUUUUUAAAAAAAAGUGUUAAAAGUUGUGUAAAAUUUUUUUUAUUGUUAUUUAGUGUUAAAAAUAAAAUAAAAAUGUAUUGUAAAUAAAACAUAAAAUAUUAGUAAGGAAAAUUAAAA
Long non-coding RNA from Calliphora vicina (urban bluebottle blowfly), 545 nucleotides. RefSeq lists it as uncharacterized. Lineage: Eukaryota; Metazoa; Arthropoda; Insecta; Diptera; Calliphoridae. The transcript is spliced from 2 exons. The record is from RefSeq and is a predicted model, not a curated record.